UACAGAGGGUGCGAGCGUUGUUCGGAAUUACUGGGCGUAAAGCGCGCGUAGGCGGCUUUUUAAGUCUGCUGGUGAAAUGCCGGGGCUCAACCCCGUGCCCGCCACAGAUACUGGGAAGCUGGAGACAUGUAGAGGCAAGCGGAAUUCCGGGUGUAGCGGUGGAAUGCGUAGAGAUCCGGAAGAACACCGGAGGCGAAGGCGGCUUGCUGGGCAUGGUCUGACGCUGAGGCGCGAAAGCGUGGGGAGCGAACAGG
RNAcentral lists this ribosomal RNA (254 nucleotides) under uncultured bacterium. RNAcentral's name for it is "partial 16S ribosomal RNA". It matches the Rfam family "Bacterial small subunit ribosomal RNA", at positions 524 to 776 of the family's 1533-position model. The record is from RNAcentral.